This 116-nucleotide ribosomal RNA is filed under the name Enterococcus sp. MMGLQ5-1. The record is from RNAcentral. Lineage: Bacteria; Bacillati; Bacillota; Bacilli; Lactobacillales; Enterococcaceae. RNAcentral also lists the same sequence under 1 other name.
UGUGGCAGCGAUAGCAAGAAGGACACACCUGUUCCCAUGCCGAACACAGAAGUUAAGCUUCUUCACGCCGAAUGUAGUUGGGGGUUUCUCCCUGCGAGACUAGGAAGUUGCCAUGC